Molecule: long non-coding RNA, 101 nt
Organism: Papaver somniferum (opium poppy)
Lineage: Eukaryota; Viridiplantae; Streptophyta; Magnoliopsida; Ranunculales; Papaveraceae
Exons: 3
Source: RefSeq, a predicted model, not a curated record
AACAAAUCUUACAGCAAUGGGAAAGAAUAAGAAGUCAACAGUAAAGAAUAAUGUCAAGCAGUUUCCAAUCAAGAAGGGACUGAAGAGUCAACAGUCCCAAC